RNAcentral lists this transfer RNA (69 nucleotides) under Homalosilpha sp. 1 ZQW-2020. RNAcentral describes it as "tRNA-Pro". The record is from RNAcentral. Lineage: Eukaryota; Metazoa; Arthropoda; Insecta; Blattodea; Blattidae.
CAGAGAAUAGUUUAUUUUAAAAUAUUAGUUUUGGGAAUUAAUGAAAAGAUUUUUAUUUCUUUUCUCUGA